UCAACAUGACCUUCAUCAUCAUCUUCAUCUGGACUCUCACAGCGUUUGCUCAAGAGUGUAGAGGACAGAUCAGCGUCACUCAGAGUCCCUCAACGACAGCAGCUCAACCAGGAGAAACAGUGAAGAUCAACUGUAGAACCAGCACAGAUGUGUAUUACAGUGGUGCUUAUCAUUUGUUAUCCUGGUACUUACAGAAACCUGGAGAAGCUCCUAAACUCCUGAUUUAUUAUGCAAACACCCUCCAGUCAGGAACUCCAUCUAGAUUCAGUGGCAGUGGAUCUAACAGUUAUUUCACUCUGACCAUCAGUGGAGUCCAGACUGAAGAUGCUGGACAUUAUUACUGUCAGAGUUACCACAGUGGUGGUGUGUUCACACAGUGAUAAAGAGUGGUACAAAAACCUCGGUCAGUCAGAGUCACAGUGACUGAACUGAUGCUGCAGCUGCUCAAAGGAGGAUCUGAAACAACAUUAUCACACAUGCAUCUGAAAUAAAAUCAUAUAAAAGAAUCUGUCACUCUUAAUAAUCAUAGAGGUUGUUCUUUACUUCUCUCAAACUUUGAAAUUGUGUGUUUUUAUUAUUUCAUCAUAUUCAUACUCUCUGUAGGGAGAAUAAAGAUAUUUUGGAAACUGGACUGAUUGAAUCUGCACAGCUUUGAGAUUUUGUGCUUUUAUAGAUUAGAGUCACGAGUGAGAUCUGACUGAUUCCAGUUUGUCUAAUUAUUAUUUUUUAAAUUAAUAACAGACAUUCAUUUUUUUUUAUAAUACUGUGUAAAAGUCAAAUCAGGAGGUAAUAAAGGCACAGAAAUAUGUAUCUAGAGACAGAGGGGUGAUGCUGGUGGCCUUGCGAAUAACUAAAU
Cyprinus carpio (common carp) is the source of this 856-nucleotide non-coding RNA. The record is from the annotation of a RefSeq genome assembly. Lineage: Eukaryota; Metazoa; Chordata; Actinopteri; Cypriniformes; Cyprinidae.